Molecule: ribosomal RNA, 255 nt
Filed under: Klebsiella pneumoniae
Lineage: Bacteria; Pseudomonadati; Pseudomonadota; Gammaproteobacteria; Enterobacterales; Enterobacteriaceae
Description: partial 23S ribosomal RNA
Rfam family: Bacterial large subunit ribosomal RNA
Source: RNAcentral
GCGAGGCCGAAAGGCGUAGUCGAUGGGAAACAGGUUAAUAUUCCUGUACUUGGUGUUACUGCGAAGGGGGGACGGAGAAGGCUAUGUUAGCCGGGCGACGGUUGUCCCGGUUUAAGCAUGUAGGCUGGUUGUCCAGGCAAAUCCGGAUAAUCAAGGCUGAGGUGUGAUGACGAGGCACUACGGUGCUGAAGUAACAAAUGCCCUGCUUCCAGGAAAAGCCUCUAAGCAUCAGGUAACAUCAAAUCGUACCCCAAA